Molecule: ribosomal RNA, 264 nt
Filed under: uncultured bacterium
Lineage: Bacteria
Description: partial 16S ribosomal RNA
Rfam family: Bacterial small subunit ribosomal RNA
Source: RNAcentral
UUUUAGUGGCGGACGGGUGAGUAACGCGUGGGUAACCUGCCUCACACUGGGGGAUAACACUUAGAAAUAGGUGCUAAUACCGCAUAAGCGCACGGGACUGCAUGGUCUUGUGUGAAAAACUCCGGUGGUGUGAGAUGGACCCGCGUCUGAUUAGCUGGUUGGCGGGGUAACGGCCCACCAAGGCGACGAUCAGUAGCCGGCCUGAGAGGGUGGACGGCCACAUUGGGACUGAGACACGGCCCGAACUCCUACGGGAGGCAGCAG